Molecule: ribosomal RNA, 274 nt
Filed under: uncultured bacterium
Lineage: Bacteria
Description: partial 16S ribosomal RNA
Rfam family: Bacterial small subunit ribosomal RNA
Source: RNAcentral
AUACGGAGGUUGCGAGCGUUGUUCGGAUUUACUGGGCGUAAAGGGAGCGCAGGCGGCUUGGUCAGUCUAAAGUGAAAGUCCGGGGCUCAACCCCGGAAGUGCUUUGGAUACUACCAAGCUUGAGUACGUGAGAGGUGAGUGGAAUUCCAGGUGUAGCGGUGAAAUGCGUAGAUAUCUGGAGGAACACCGGUGGCGAAGGCGGCUCACUGGCACGAAACUGACGCUGAGGCUCGAAAGCGUGGGGAGCGAACGGGAUUAGAAACCCCAGUAGUCC